AGUCAUAUGCUUGUUUCAAAGAUUAAGCCAUGCAAGUCUAAGUAUAAGCUAUUUAUACGGCAAAACUGCGAAUAGCUCAUUACAACAGUUAUAAUCUACACGACGAUCAUUACCAUAUGGAUAUCCAUGGUAAUUCUGGAGCUAAUACAUGCUAAAACACCCGACUUUUCGGAAGGGUGGCAUUCAUUAGUGACUCAGAACCAAUCACUUCGGUGUUUCUGGUGAUCAUAAUGACGGAGCGGAUCGCAUUUAUGCGACAGUUCGUUCGAGUUUCUGACCUAUCAGCUCCCGUCGGUAGGGUAUUGGCCUACCGAGGCUGUGACGGGUAACGGGGAAUUAGGGUUCGAUUCCGGAGAGGGAGCCUGAGAAACGGCUACCACAUCUAAGGAUGGCAGCAGGCGCGCAAAUUACCCAAUCCCGAUACGGGGAGGUAGUGACCAGAAAUAGCAACUCAGGACGAUUAGUUCUGUGAUUGCAAUGAGCGGAAAGCAAAACUGUUUGUGAGUACCUAUU
RNAcentral lists this ribosomal RNA (513 nucleotides) under uncultured eukaryote. RNAcentral's name for it is "SSU rRNA". It matches the Rfam family "Eukaryotic small subunit ribosomal RNA", at positions 22 to 549 of the family's 1831-position model. The record is from RNAcentral.